This 208-nucleotide long non-coding RNA is filed under the name Solanum tuberosum (potato). RNAcentral's name for it is "long non-coding RNA (STUB_LNC003755)". Lineage: Eukaryota; Viridiplantae; Streptophyta; Magnoliopsida; Solanales; Solanaceae. The record is from RNAcentral.
UUGUUUUAGAGAUAAUUUAGCGAUUCAUCAAAAUUUAUGAUGAUCAUCAUCCUAACCUUUUGGUAUCUGGUGUAGUGAACAACAACGUAGCAUGGGUAGCGUUUCUGGUUAAUUCUUAAAGCUCAUUGUAAUUAACUCUAUCCAUGUAAAUCAUUUGAAGAGGGUAUAUAUAUAUACAUACGUAUCUCUACUAAAUUCUGCUACAAUC